Molecule: long non-coding RNA, 421 nt
Filed under: Triticum aestivum (bread wheat)
Lineage: Eukaryota; Viridiplantae; Streptophyta; Magnoliopsida; Poales; Poaceae
Description: long non-coding RNA (TAES_LNC000865)
Source: RNAcentral
CUCCGGACGCCGCCCCUGCUCUCGCCGGCCGCCGGACGACGCCCUGCUUCCGCUCCGUCCACCUCGACCUCCUCACCAGCCAGCACCUCAACCGAGCUCGGUGAGCGCCUCACCUCCUCUCUGUCUCGCCGACCUCCUCACGGACCAACAUUUUGUUGCCACUGAUUGAUAGUCCUGUGUGUAUGCUGCCCCUGAUUGAUAUUGGUACUGCUUGAUCUGGCUAGUCUUGUGUAUAUGCUGCUACUGAUUCAAAUGGGCAGUGGGCAUUUUAUUGCUAUUGCUAUGAUUCAAGUGCCUGAUAUGGCCCUCAUUUUCCUGCUAGACCUCGUUGUGUUGAUAUGUGCAUCUAAUAGAUGUGGAAGGGGAAUGGCAAGUCCGUACCAAGAUGGGAGAGUGGCAAAUGCGAGUGCAAAAUAGACCG